Molecule: ribosomal RNA, 468 nt
Filed under: uncultured bacterium
Lineage: Bacteria
Description: partial 16S ribosomal RNA
Rfam family: Bacterial small subunit ribosomal RNA
Source: RNAcentral
GACGAACGCUGGCGGCGUGCUUAACACAUGCAAGUCGAACGGAAAGGCCCUGCUUUUGUGGGGUGCUCGAGUGGCGAACGGGUGAGUAACACGUGAGUAACCUGCCCUUGACUUUGGGAUAACUUCAGGAAACUGGGGCUAAUACCGGAUAGGAGCUCCUGCUGCAUGGUGGGGGUUGGAAAGUUUCGGCGGUUGGGGAUGGACUCGCGGCUUAUCAGCUUGUUGGUGGGGUAGUGGCUUACCAAGGCUUUGACGGGUAGCCGGCCUGAGAGGGUGACCGGCCACAGUGGGACUGAGAUACGGCCCAGACUCCUACGGGAGGCAGCAGUGGGGAAUAUUGCACAAUGGGCGGAAGCCUGAUGCAGCAACGCCGCGUGCGGGAUGACGGCCUUCGGGGUGUAAACCGCUUUCGCCUGGGACGAAGCGUGAGUGACGGUAAUGGGUAAAGAAGCACCGGCUAACUACGUG